Molecule: ribosomal RNA, 801 nt
Filed under: uncultured marine bacterium
Lineage: Bacteria
Description: bacterial SSU rRNA
Rfam family: Bacterial small subunit ribosomal RNA
Source: RNAcentral
GUCGAACGGUAACAGAAAAAGCUUGCUUUUUGCUGACGAGUGGCGAACGGCUGCGUAACGCGUAUGCAACCUACCUUCUUCUAAGGAAUAGCCCAGAGAAAUUUGGAUUAAUACCUUACGACAAUAUUUAUUCGCAUGUUUAAAUAUUUAAAACUCCGGUGGAAGAAGAUGGGCAUGCGUAACAUUAGUUUGUUGGUGAGGUAAUGGCUCACCAAGACUACGAUGUUUAGGGGGUCUGAGAGGAUGAUCCCCCACACUGGUACUGAGACACGGACCAGAUUCCUACGGGAGGCAGCAGUGAGGAAUAUUGGUCAAUGGACGAAAGUCUGAACCAGCCAUGCCGCGUGAAGGAUGACGGCCCUACGGGUUGUAAACUUCUUUUGUUUAGGAAGAAACCCCUCUACGUGUAGAGGGUUGACAGUACUAUUCGAAUAAGCACCGGCUAACUCCGUGCCAGCAGCCGCGGUAAUACGGAGGGUGCGAGCGUUAUCCGGAAUUAUUGGGUUUAAAGGGUGCGUAGGCGGAAAUUUAAGUCAGUGGUGAAAGCCUGCAGCUUAACUGUAGAAUUGCCAUUGAUACUGGAUUUCUUGAAUCUAAUGGAAGUAGGCGGAAUAUGACAUGUAGCGGUGAAAUGCUUAGAUAUGUCAUAGAACACCGAUAGCGAAGGCAGCUUACUAUGUUAGUAUUGACGCUAAUGCACGAAAGCGUGGGGAGCGAACAGGAUUAGAUACCCUGGUAGUCCACGCCGUAAACGAUGAUUACUCGCUAUUGGCGAUACACUGUCAGUGGCUAAGCGAAAGU